UUUUUUUCCACAAAGAAUUAAACCUUUCAUAGNAACGAUACAGAGAAGAUUAGCAUGGCCCCUGCGCAAGGAUGACACGUAAAUUCGUGAAGCGUUCCAUAUUUUU
RNAcentral lists this small nuclear RNA (106 nucleotides) under Sus scrofa (pig). Lineage: Eukaryota; Metazoa; Chordata; Mammalia; Artiodactyla; Suidae. The record is from RNAcentral.